UGGGGAAUAUUGCACAAUAGGCGCAAGCCUGAUGCAGCCAUGCCGCGUGUAUGAAGAAGGCCUUCGGGUUGUAAAGUACUUUCAGUCGGGAGGAAGGUGUCAAGGUUAAUAACCUUGGCAAUUGACGUUACCGACAGAAGAAGCACCGGCUAACUCCGUGCCAGCAGCCGCGGUAAUACGGAGGGUGCAAGCGUUAAUCGGAAUUACUGGGCGUAAAGCGCACGCAGGCGGUUGAUUGAGUCAGAUGUGAAAUCCCCGGGCUUAACCCGGGAAUUGCAUCUGAUACUGGUCAGCUAGAGUCUUGUAGAGGGGGGUAGAAUUCCAUGUGUAGCGGUGAAAUGCGUAGAGAUGUGGAGGAAUACCGGUGGCGAAGGCGGCCCCCUGGACAAAGACUGACGCUCAGGUGCGAAAGCGUGGGGAGCAAACAGG
Molecule: ribosomal RNA, 429 nt
Filed under: Chloroflexota bacterium
Lineage: Bacteria; Bacillati; Chloroflexota
Description: Chloroflexi bacterium partial 16S ribosomal RNA
Rfam family: Bacterial small subunit ribosomal RNA
Source: RNAcentral